UAUUAAGGUGUCUGAUUUAAGUAGUAAACUGUAAAUUUACUUAAGAAUUUAUUAUUCCCUUGAUAA
Molecule: transfer RNA, 66 nt
Filed under: Atkinsoniella nigrita
Lineage: Eukaryota; Metazoa; Arthropoda; Insecta; Hemiptera; Cicadellidae
Description: tRNA-Tyr
Source: RNAcentral